UACGGAGGGUGCAAGCGUUAUCCGGAAUCACUGGGUUUAAAGGGUGCGUAGGCGGUUCAUUAAGUCAGUUGUGAAAUUCCCUCGCUUAACGAGUGGGACUGCGAUUGAUACUGAUGAACUUGAAUCAGGUUGAGGUAGGCGGAAUGUGACAUGUAGCGGUGAAAUGCAUAGAUAUGUCAUAGAACACCGAUUGCGAAGGCAGCUUGCUGGACCUGUAUUGACGCUGAGGCACGAAAGCGUGGGGAGCAAACAGG
Molecule: ribosomal RNA, 254 nt
Filed under: uncultured bacterium
Lineage: Bacteria
Description: partial 16S ribosomal RNA
Rfam family: Bacterial small subunit ribosomal RNA
Source: RNAcentral